This is a long non-coding RNA of Oreochromis aureus, 401 nucleotides long. The record is from Ensembl. Lineage: Eukaryota; Metazoa; Chordata; Actinopteri; Cichliformes; Cichlidae.
GUGAGAUAUAAGGCAGACACUGCAGGAAACUCCUCACUUCACUUUCUUCAUGUGAGCAGCCUGUCAGCUUCACUUGUUUCUUCUCUGGUUGGAGUUUCAGCACUUCCAGGAGGAUGGAGGUCUUUCUCUCUGAGAGGUUUAUGAACCAGACUGCAGGAGCUGACUGGAAAACUGACUGUAAUGAUGGAAGGACACUCAAGCCUGUUUUAGUCUCAUAAGAGUACAGGUCCAUGAGGAAGUCACAGCAUUUAUGUUUCAGAGGUCUGUUUUUGUAUCUGCACACUGAUGAUAACAGCUCCAGAAUCUUCUCUCCUGUCUGCUGUUCUCUCUCUGCUGCUGCACAGAACAGAUUCACAAAGAACUUCGUUCUGUCUUUGUCUGAUGUCUCAUCAUCAACACUG